CANGUCGAACGAUGACUUUUGUGCUUGCACAAAAUGAUUAGUGGCGAACGGGUGAGUAACACGUGAGUAACCUGCCCUUAACUUCGGGAUAAGCCUGGGAAACCGGGUCUAAUACCGGAUACGACGGUCCACCGCAUGGUGGUCCGUGGAAAGCUUGAUGCGGUUUUGGAUGGACUCGCGGCCUAUCAGCUAGUUGGUUGGGGUAAUGGCCCACCAAGGCGACGACGGGUAGCCGGCCUGAGAGGGUGACCGGCCACACUGGGACUGAGACACGGCCCAGACUCCUACGGGAGGCAGCAGUGGGGAAUAUUGCACAAUGGGCGAAAGCCUGAUGCAGCGACGCCGCGUGAGGGACGAAGGCCUUCGGGUUGUAAACCUCUUUCAGCAGGGAAGAAGCGAAAGUGACGGUACCUGCAGAAGAAGCGCCGGCUAACUACGUGCCAGCAGCCGCGGUAAUACGUAGGGCGCAAGCGUUAUCCGGAAUUAUUGGGCGUAAAGAGCUCGUAGGCGGUUUGUCGCGUCUGCUGUGAAAGCCCGGGGCUCAACCCCGGGUCUGCAGUGGGUACGGGCAGACUAGAGUGCAGUAGGGGAGACUGGAAUUCCUGGUGUAGCGGUGAAAUGCGCAGAUAUCAGGAGGAACACCGAUGGCGAAGGCAGGUCUCUGGGCUGUAACUGACGCUGAGGAGCGAAAGCAUGGGGAGCGAACAGGAUUAGAUACCCUGGUAGUCCAUGCCGUAAACGUUGGGCACUAGGUGUGGGGGACAUUCCACGUUUUCCGCGCCGUAGCUAACGCAUUAAGUGCCCCGCCUGGGGAGUACGGCCGCAAGGCUAAAACUCAAAGGAAUUGACGGGGGCCCGCACAAGCGGCGGAGCAUGCGGAUUAAUUCGAUGCAACGCGAAGAACCUUACCAAGGCUUGACAUGAACCGGAAAGGCCUGGAAACAGGUCCCCCACUUGUGGCCGGUUUACAGGUGGUGCAUGGUUGUCGUCAGCUCGUGUCGUGAGAUGUUGGGUUAAGUCCCGCAACGAGCGCAACCCUCGUUCUAUGUUGCCAGCGCGUUAUGGCGGGGACUCAUAGGAGACUGCCGGGGUCAAYUCGGAGGAAGGUGGGGACGACGUCAAAUCAUCAUGCCCCUUAUGUCUUGGGCUUCAGCAUGCUACAUGGCCGGUACAAGGGUUGCGAU
This 1184-nucleotide ribosomal RNA is filed under the name Arthrobacter sp. Its description in RNAcentral is "bacterial SSU rRNA". It matches the Rfam family "Bacterial small subunit ribosomal RNA", at positions 58 to 1253 of the family's 1533-position model. The record is from RNAcentral. Lineage: Bacteria; Bacillati; Actinomycetota; Actinomycetes; Micrococcales; Micrococcaceae.